AGAAUUCUGAAAUGCAGUGAAAAAGUGUCAUUCUGAAAUGCAGAAUUCUGAUGCCUUGCUGACGUAGUGACUACCGACGCCACUUUUUUCUUGCAGUCGAGAAUCUCUGAAUCGUUCGCUCCCUCCGUCACAAUUCAGAUUUCAGAAUCGACUCGGUUUCUGAUCUAUGGAGAACGCCGAUCCAGUUCCUCAAUCUGCUCCUCCUUUUUCUUCCGAUCCCUCAGAUUCCCGCAACCGCCAACCACCGCAGCUCCGCUACUUGCACUGCAGCUGCUUCCGCCGCUGCUGCCGCUGUUUCUGCUGCUUCUACGCCUAAUCAUCACUCAAAAACACCUCACUCUUUUGCUACCAUAGACCUUUAGUUUGUUUGCUUAUGAGGAUGCAAUUCCAAUGCUGGGGAAAGCUACUUGAUUUCCUGAUGAGUUAUGCUCAAAUGAAGUGUCCACUGCUACAAAGGUGUGUACCCUUUAUCGCUUCUGUAAUGUUAUUCUUCUGUAGAGUUUCUAAUUUAAAUUUUAUGCUGGUAAUGCGCUCUGAAGCACAAUGACUGAUUCUUUGUUGUUUGGGUGAUAUCGUGUCACUGUAAGAAUUUAGCUAUCAACUAUGGAAAAGGUUUGAAAAGAAAAAAAUCUAUACACAAUGUACAUAAUAGGAAGGGUAAAGAGUCUAAUAAGCUGGGAAUAGUUGGUCACCAUGCUUUCCUGAGUAAAAAGGUAUUACAUGUAUGUAUAGUUGUCUCUAGGUUCUUGGAUUUAAAAGUAUUCCUAAGUUCCCUGUUCCUGAAUAAAAAUGUAUUGCAGGUUCAAGACUAGUAUCACUAUGGAUCCCUAAAUCCCCGUUCUUGCAAUGCAUGAUCUUUUUGUUUUGUUUGUUUUCUUUGAUUUUUAUUUUUUUAAAAUUUAUUUUAUGUUUGUAGACUGGCAUCUUUUACUUUGUUUUGUUUUGUUCUAUUAUGGCGUAGAGCUUUACAUCAUGUGUAGAUGUGCUAGACCAAUUAUGAUGUACCUUUUAUUUUGAUUUUUGACACAACUAGAAAGUAAAUGUAUAUAAUGACAGAUAUGGAUGCAGAAAAUAAAUGUAUGAACUCAACUUCA
Long non-coding RNA from Ipomoea nil (Japanese morning glory), 1094 nucleotides. RefSeq lists it as uncharacterized. Lineage: Eukaryota; Viridiplantae; Streptophyta; Magnoliopsida; Solanales; Convolvulaceae. The transcript is spliced from 3 exons. The record is from RefSeq and is a predicted model, not a curated record.